Long non-coding RNA from Bufo bufo (common toad), 164 nucleotides. RefSeq lists it as uncharacterized. The transcript is spliced from 3 exons. Lineage: Eukaryota; Metazoa; Chordata; Amphibia; Anura; Bufonidae. The record is from RefSeq and is a predicted model, not a curated record.
AGAGGAGAGAGUGGCAGGGGGGUGAAAGAUAAAGUAUAUAUUUUCUAUUGGCUACGAACACUCUAUGCUUUUCUGUAACCUUGAUGGCCAGAAGAAGAAAUUCCUCCACCCUCCCCCCUUGCUCGUGGGAGAUACCGUUACUUCUUAUUCUUUGUAACUGCUUG